This 184-nucleotide ribosomal RNA is filed under the name Brevibacillus parabrevis. RNAcentral's name for it is "partial 16S ribosomal RNA". It matches the Rfam family "Bacterial small subunit ribosomal RNA", at positions 1 to 193 of the family's 1533-position model. The record is from RNAcentral. Lineage: Bacteria; Bacillati; Bacillota; Bacilli; Caryophanales; Paenibacillaceae.
UUAUUGGAGAGUUUGAUCCUGGCUCAGGACGAACGCUGGCGGCGUGCCUAAUACAUGCAAGUCGAGCGAGGGUUUUCGGACCCUAGCGGCGGACGGGUGAGUAACACGUAGGCAACCUGCCUCUCAGACCGGGAUAACAUAGGGAAACUUAUGCUAAUACCGGAUAGGUUUUUGGAUUGCAUGA